GUAGCUGUAGCUCAGUAGUAGAGUGCUUGCCUAGCAUGCAUGAGGCCCUAGGUUCAAAUCUCAGCACUACA
This 71-nucleotide transfer RNA is filed under the name Ictidomys tridecemlineatus (thirteen-lined ground squirrel). RNAcentral describes it as "Spermophilus tridecemlineatus (thirteen-lined ground squirrel) tRNA". It matches the Rfam family "tRNA". Rfam says of the family: Transfer RNA (tRNA) molecules are approximately 80 nucleotides in length. Their secondary structure includes four short double-helical elements and three loops (D, anti-codon, and T loops). Further hydrogen bonds mediate the characteristic L-shaped molecular structure. tRNAs have two regions of fundamental functional importance: the anti-codon, which is responsible for specific mRNA codon recognition, and the 3' end, to which the tRNAs corresponding amino acid is attached (by aminoacyl-tRNA synthetases). tRNAs cope with the degeneracy of the genetic code in two manners: having more than one tRNA (with a specific anti-codon) for a particular amino acid; and 'wobble' base-pairing, i.e. permitting non-standard base-pairing at the 3rd anti-codon position. Lineage: Eukaryota; Metazoa; Chordata; Mammalia; Rodentia; Sciuridae. The record is from Rfam by way of RNAcentral.